RNAcentral lists this transfer RNA (73 nucleotides) under Clostridium sp. AF32-12BH. RNAcentral's name for it is "tRNA-Met". It matches the Rfam family "tRNA". Rfam says of the family: Transfer RNA (tRNA) molecules are approximately 80 nucleotides in length. Lineage: Bacteria; Bacillati; Bacillota; Clostridia; Eubacteriales; Clostridiaceae. The record is from RNAcentral.
GCGGGAUGGAGCAGUCUGGUAGCUCGUCAGAGUCAUAAUCUGAAGGUCGUGGGUUCAAAUCCUACUCUCCGCA